GUAGGUGGCAAGCGUUGUCCGGAUUUACUGGGCGUAAAGAGCGCGCAGGCGGCCGAGUAAGUCGAAUGUGAAAGCCCCCGGCUCAACUGGGGAAGGUCAUUCGAUACUGUUCGGCUCGAAGAUAGGAGAGGGAAGCGGAAUUUCAGGUGUAGUGGUGAAAUGCGUAGAUAUCUGAAGGAACACCAGUGGCGAAGGCGGCUUUCUGGCCUAUUCUUGACGCUGAGGCGCGAAAGCUAGGGGAGCGAACGGG
Molecule: ribosomal RNA, 250 nt
Filed under: uncultured bacterium
Lineage: Bacteria
Description: partial 16S ribosomal RNA
Rfam family: Bacterial small subunit ribosomal RNA
Source: RNAcentral